GGCUUAGUAGCUCAGUUGGUUAGAGCGCUUCCAUCACAUGAGAGUGACACUGGUUCGAAUCCUGCUUAAGCUG
Molecule: non-coding RNA, 73 nt
Organism: Mycena leptocephala
Lineage: Eukaryota; Fungi; Basidiomycota; Agaricomycetes; Agaricales; Mycenaceae
Source: the annotation of a GenBank genome assembly